UGACAGGAGGCUACAUUACCACCACCACCACCACCACCAGAUGACUGAGGCAUCACCCUCUUAAUUCUGUUGUAUUAUGUACUAUAUAAUUAUCUUGUAUCUGUAGUUCAUACCCUAAUGUGUACUUUAUUGUAUUAUGGUAUUGUAUUACAAAUAUUGUUUCUCAUUUUCUGGUGUAAUGUAUUAAUAAAGCCUCCAAGUGCUCAA
Long non-coding RNA from Homarus americanus (American lobster), 207 nucleotides. RefSeq lists it as uncharacterized. NCBI's taxonomy places the organism in Eukaryota, Metazoa, Arthropoda, Malacostraca, Decapoda, Nephropidae. The transcript has 2 exons. The record is from RefSeq and is a predicted model, not a curated record.